This 540-nucleotide ribosomal RNA is filed under the name uncultured bacterium. RNAcentral's name for it is "bacterial SSU rRNA". It matches the Rfam family "Bacterial small subunit ribosomal RNA", at positions 368 to 915 of the family's 1533-position model. The record is from RNAcentral.
GAGAAGGCGAGCUGACGGAGCAGACCGCGUGGGGGAAGAAGGCUCUUGGGUUGUAAACCCCUUUUCUCUGGGAAGAAAGUUGUGAAAGCAACCUGACGGUACCAGAGGAAUCAGCAUCGGCUAACUCCGUGCCAGCAGCCGCGGUAAGACGGAGGAUGCAAGCGUUAUCCGGAAUGAUUGGGCGUAAAGCGUCCGCAGGUGGCAGUUCAAGUCUGCUGUCAAAGACCGGGGCUUAACUUCGGAAAGGCAGUGGAAACUGAACAGCUAGAGUAUGGUAGGGGCAGAGGGAAUUCCUGGUGUAGCGGUGAAAUGCGUAGAGAUCAGGAAGAACAUCGGUGGCGAAGGCGCUCUGCUGGACCAUAACUGACACUCAGGGACGAAAGCUAGGGGAGCGAAUGGGAUUAGAUACCCCAGUAGUCCUAGCCGUAAACGAUGGAUACUAGGUGUUGUCUGUAUCGACCCGGACAGUGCCGUAGCUAACGCGUUAAGUAUCCCGCCUGGGGAGUACGCACGCAAGUGUGAAACUCAAAGGAAUUGACG